Apis cerana (Asiatic honeybee) is the source of this 665-nucleotide long non-coding RNA. RefSeq lists it as uncharacterized. Lineage: Eukaryota; Metazoa; Arthropoda; Insecta; Hymenoptera; Apidae. The record is from RefSeq and is a predicted model, not a curated record.
AGCAGUAGCAAUUUUAGUACCAUCCGGGGACCAUCGACAAACGCGAAUACCGGAUCCCGAAUUUACGAAAGAAGAUUUUGCUUGACAGCCGUCCUAUGAGAAAUUAAGUAAUAAAAGAGCAUCACUAACAUAUUCCAGAUAACAACAGUUCCAUCUAAAGAACAGGAGGCAAGCAUACGACCACAAGGACUAAAUUCUACGUGAUUUAUGCUAUAUUUAUGACCGUCUAAUGGACUGUAAGAUUUUUCUUGAAAUUUCAUGGUAAUUUCGGAAUCUGUUUCUUCUUCGCUUUCAAUAGUCCAAAUUCGUAUUGAUUUAUCCCUAUUACAUAUUUAAUAUAAUUAUUUAAUGAUAUAGAUUGGUUUAAAAUCUGCCGAUUUGGUUGAAAUUUUGUAAAUAACUUCAUUUUAUAUAAAAACAACGUUUGCGAGAAGGAUUUUUGGCGAUUCGAAAGUUAAAACUCAAAAUUUUGUGAAAAGUGUUCUAUUAUUUUAGUAUCAACAUCAUCACUAUAUAAUACACGCAGAAUAAGAUCAUAAUAAUAAUCAUAAUCAGUAUUUAUUUUAAGAGAAAAAAUCUAAAAAAUUUUAACAAAUCGGGCAUGAUAAGUUUUCGGAAAUUUUGAUGAUUAUGUAUAUUUUAAUAAAAAAAAGAUAAUAUAGCAA